GGUAAAGUAGUUUAAGUUAGAAUCCUUGUUUUACACGUAGGGGGUGGGGUUAUCCCUAUUAUCA
Molecule: transfer RNA, 64 nt
Filed under: Fasciola jacksoni
Lineage: Eukaryota; Metazoa; Platyhelminthes; Trematoda; Plagiorchiida; Fasciolidae
Description: tRNA-Val
Source: RNAcentral